Molecule: ribosomal RNA, 1185 nt
Filed under: Triticum aestivum (bread wheat)
Lineage: Eukaryota; Viridiplantae; Streptophyta; Magnoliopsida; Poales; Poaceae
Description: partial small subunit ribosomal RNA
Source: RNAcentral
AUGGACAAAAAGACAAAGAUGUUAAUUUAUGCGGCUGCGGCACAAUGGUUUAUCAACAUGAUAACAUUGGUUGUUCAAUCCAGAAAAAGAAAAAGGGGAGAAGCAAUUACGUAUGCCCCAAUUGAUGAGAGAGAUAGGAUGAGAAGAGAGUAUUUUGACAACAAAAUAUGGAAGAAUGACACAACCUGUGUGAACAUGCUUAGGCUUCGGAGAGAACCUUUCUUUAGGUUUUGUCAACUCUUUAGGGAUCGCAACUUGCUAAAGGACACAAUACAUUUGACUAUUGAGCAACAAGUAGCAAUGUUCUUGCACACCGUCGGGCACAACAUUAGAAAUAGGGUAAUUGGCGCCAAUUUUGGUAGAUCCGGUGAAGUUGUGAGCCGUUACUUCCAAAGGGUACUCCAUGCCAUUGGCGAGCUUCGAGAUGACCUUAUUGGGAAGCCUUCAUUGGAGACCCAAACCAAAAUAGAAGGAAACUACCGGUGGGUUCCAUACUUUAAGGAUUGUAUUGGAGCUAUUGAUGGUACACAUGUGCGAGCCUCUAUUACACCGGAUAUGGAGGCUUCCUUUCGUGGUAGAAAGACUUAUGCCACUCAAAAUGUGAUGGCGGCUGUAGAUUUUGAUCUUCGAUUCACAUAUGUGUUGGCCGGGUGGGAGGGGACAACACAUGAUGCUCUAUUUUUACGUGACGCUUUAGAACGUGAAAAUGGUCUACGUGUCCCACAAGGGAAAUUUUAUCUAGUUGAUGCUGGAUAUGGAGCCAAACAUGGUUUUUUGCCUCCUUUUCGUGGUGUGAGGUACCACUUGAAUGAGUGGGGAAACAACCCUGUGCAAAAUGAGAGGGAGCUGUUCAACCUUAGGCAUUCUUCUCUUCGUGUGACUGUAGAACGUGCAUUUGGGUCAUUGAAGAGAAGAUUCAAGAUACUUGAUGAUGCCACUCCAUUCUUUCUGUUUCCAACACAAGUUGACAUUGUUGUGGCUUGUUGCAUUAUUCACAAUUGGGUUAUAAAUGAUGGGAUAGAUGAAUAUAUCAUACCCGAGGAUGAAUGGGUGCCAAAUAUUACUCAUGCUUCAUCAUCAAGUGGUCAAGCACAUGAACAUGCAUACAUGGUUAAUUUUAGGCAAGGAGUUGCUGAUCAAAUGUGGGAAGACCGACAAAACCAUUUGCAAGGUCAAAAUAUGUAG